CCGCUGAAUUUAAGCAUAUCAGUAAGCAGAGGAAAAGAAACUAACAAGGAUUGCCCCAGUAAUGGCGAAUGAAAAGGCAAAAGCUCAGAUUGAAAAUCUCCCUAAAAAGAGAGUUGUAGUCUGGAGUUGCGAUCGGAAGCAGCGUCUCAGGUAUAAGUCGGUUGGAAAGCCGCGCUAGAAAGGGUGAUAGCCCCGUAGUCGACCUGGGCCGCGCGUACGAUCAACAACAAAGAGUCGGGUAGUUUGGGAUUGCUGCCCUAAUUGGGAGAUAAACUUCUUCUAAAGCUAAAUAUUGAUGGGAGACCGAUAGCGAACAAGUACUGUGAAGGAAAGAUGAAAAGAACUUUGAAGAGAGAGUUC
This 360-nucleotide ribosomal RNA is filed under the name Dyopedos bispinis. RNAcentral describes it as "partial large subunit ribosomal RNA". It matches the Rfam family "Eukaryotic large subunit ribosomal RNA", at positions 25 to 390 of the family's 3401-position model. The record is from RNAcentral. Lineage: Eukaryota; Metazoa; Arthropoda; Malacostraca; Amphipoda; Dulichiidae.